Molecule: ribosomal RNA, 440 nt
Filed under: uncultured bacterium
Lineage: Bacteria
Description: partial 16S ribosomal RNA
Rfam family: Bacterial small subunit ribosomal RNA
Source: RNAcentral
CCUACGAGAGGCUGCAGUGGGGAAUAUUGCACAAUGGGGGAAACCCUGAUGCAGCGACGCCGCGUGAGUGAAGAAGUAUUUCGGUAUGUAAAGCUCUAUCAGCAGGGAAGAAAAUGACGGUACCUGAUUAAGAAGCCACGGCUAAAUACGUGCCAGCAGCCGCGGUAAUACGUAGGGGGCAAGCGUUAUCCGGAUUUACUGGGUGUAAAGGGAGCGUAGACGGCAGCACAAGUCUGGAGUGAAAUGCCGGGGCUUAACCCCGGAUCUGCUUUGCAAACUGUGCAGCUAGAGUGCAGGAGAGGUAAGUGGAAUUCCUAGUGUAGCGGUGAAAUGCGUAGAUAUUAGGAGGAACACCAGUGGCGAAGGCGGCUUGCUGGACUGUAACUGACGUUGAGGCUCGAAAGCGUGGGGAGCGAACAGGAUUAGAUACCCCAGUAGUC